This 696-nucleotide ribosomal RNA is filed under the name uncultured beta proteobacterium. RNAcentral's name for it is "bacterial SSU rRNA". It matches the Rfam family "Bacterial small subunit ribosomal RNA", at positions 29 to 722 of the family's 1533-position model. The record is from RNAcentral. Lineage: Bacteria; Pseudomonadati; Pseudomonadota; Betaproteobacteria.
UUGAACGCUGGCGGCAUGCUUUACACAUGCAAGUCGAACGGUAACAGGUCUUCGGAUGCUGACGAGUGGCGAACGGGUGAGUAAUACAUCGGAACGUGCCUAGUAGUGGGGGAUAACUACUCGAAAGAGUAGCUAAUACCGCAUGAGAUCUACGGAUGAAAGCAGGGGACCUUCGGGCCUUGUGCUACUAGAGCGGCUGAUGGCAGAUUAGGUAGUUGGUGGGGUAAAAGCUUACCAAGCCUGCGAUCUGUAGCUGGUCUGAGAGGACGACCAGCCACACUGGGACUGAGACACGGCCCAGACUCCUACGGGAGGCAGCAGUGGGGAAUUUUGGACAAUGGGCGAAAGCCUGAUCCAGCAAUGCCGCGUGCAGGAUGAAGGCCCUCGGGUUGUAAACUGCUUUUGUACGGAACGAAAAGCCUGGGGCUAAUAUCCCCGGGUCAUGACGGUACCGUAAGAAUAAGCACCGGCUAACUACGUGCCAGCAGCCGCGGUAAUACGUAGGGUGCAAGCGUUAAUCGGAAUUACUGGGCGUAAAGCGUGCGCAGGCGGUUUUGUAAGACAGUGGUGAAAUCCCCGGGCUCAACCUGGGAACUGCCAUUGUGACUGCAAGGCUAGAGUGCGGCAGAGGGGGAUGGAAUUCCGCGUGUAGCAGUGAAAUGCGUAGAUAUGCGGAGGAACACCGAUGGCGAAGGC